RNAcentral lists this ribosomal RNA (1740 nucleotides) under Salmonella enterica. RNAcentral's name for it is "bacterial LSU rRNA". It matches the Rfam family "Bacterial large subunit ribosomal RNA", at positions 1220 to 2925 of the family's 2925-position model. Lineage: Bacteria; Pseudomonadati; Pseudomonadota; Gammaproteobacteria; Enterobacterales; Enterobacteriaceae. The record is from RNAcentral.
UUCGUUGGGUAGGGGAGCGUUCUGUAAGCCUGCGAAGGUGGCCUGUGAGGGUUGCUGGAGGUAUCAGAAGUGCGAAUGCUGACAUAAGUAACGAUAAAGCGGGUGAAAAGCCCGCUCGCCGGAAGACCAAGGGUUCCUGUCCAACGUUAAUCGGGGCAGGGUGAGUCGACCCCUAAGGCGAGGCCGAAAGGCGUAGUCGAUGGGAAACGGGUUAAUAUUCCCGUACUUGGUGUUACUGCGAAGGGGGGACGGAGAAGGCUAUGUUGGCCGGGCGACGGUUGUCCCGGUUUAAGCGUGUAGGUGUGUGUUCCAGGUAAAUCCGGUUCACUUUAACACUGAGGCGUGACGACGAGGCACUACGGUGCUGAAGCAACAAAUGCCCUGCUUCCAGGAAAAGCCUCUAAGCAUCAGGUAACAUCAAAUCGUACCCCAAACCGACACAGGUGGUCAGGUAGAGAAUACCAAGGCGCUUGAGAGAACUCGGGUGAAGGAACUAGGCAAAAUGGUGCCGUAACUUCGGGAGAAGGCACGCUGACAUGUAGGUGAAGUGAUUUACUCACGGAGCUGAAGUCAGUCGAAGAUACCAGCUGGCUGCAACUGUUUAUUAAAAACACAGCACUGUGCAAACACGAAAGUGGACGUAUACGGUGUGACGCCUGCCCGGUGCCGGAAGGUUAAUUGAUGGGGUCAGCGCAAGCGAAGCUCCUGAUCGAAGCCCCGGUAAACGGCGGCCGUAACUAUAACGGUCCUAAGGUAGCGAAAUUCCUUGUCGGGUAAGUUCCGACCUGCACGAAUGGCGUAAUGAUGGCCAGGCUGUCUCCACCCGAGACUCAGUGAAAUUGAACUCGCUGUGAAGAUGCAGUGUACCCGCGGCAAGACGGAAAGACCCCGUGAACCUUUACUAUAGCUUGACACUGAACAUUGAGCCUUGAUGUGUAGGAUAGGUGGGAGGCUUUGAAGUGUGGACGCCAGUCUGCAUGGAGCCGACCUUGAAAUACCACCCUUUAAUGUUUGAUGUUCUAACGUGGACCCGUAAUCCGGGUUGCGGACAGUGUCUGGUGGGUAGUUUGACUGGGGCGGUCUCCUCCUAAAGAGUAACGGAGGAGCACGAAGGUUGGCUAAUCCUGGUCGGACAUCAGGAGGUUAGUGCAAUGGCAUAAGCCAGCUUGACUGCGAGCGUGACGGCGCGAGCAGGUGCGAAAGCAGGUCAUAGUGAUCCGGUGGUUCUGAAUGGAAGGGCCAUCGCUCAACGGAUAAAAGGUACUCCGGGGAUAACAGGCUGAUACCGCCCAAGAGUUCAUAUCGACGGCGGUGUUUGGCACCUCGAUGUCGGCUCAUCACAUCCUGGGGCUGAAGUAGGUCCCAAGGGUAUGGCUGUUCGCCAUUUAAAGUGGUACGCGAGCUGGGUUUAGAACGUCGUGAGACAGUUCGGUCCCUAUCUGCCGUGGGCGCUGGAGAACUGAGGGGGGCUGCUCCUAGUACGAGAGGACCGGAGUGGACGCAUCACUGGUGUUCGGGUUGUCAUGCCAAUGGCACUGCCCGGUAGCUAAAUGCGGAAGAGAUAAGUGCUGAAAGCAUCUAAGCACGAAACUUGCCCCGAGAUGAGUUCUCCCUGAGACUUAGAGUCUCCUGAAGGAACGUUGAAGACGACGACGUUGAUAGGCCGGGUGUGUAAGCGCAGCGAUGCGUUGAGCUAACCGGUACUAAUGAACCGUGAGGCUUAACCUUACAACGCCGAAG